GCGGGUGUAGUUCAAUGGUAGAACUUCAGCUUCCCAAGCUGACGGCGCGGGUUCGAUUCCCGUCACCCGCU
Molecule: transfer RNA, 71 nt
Filed under: Georgenia thermotolerans
Lineage: Bacteria; Bacillati; Actinomycetota; Actinomycetes; Allobogoriellales; Allobogoriellaceae
Also listed under: 4 other names
Description: tRNA-Gly
Rfam family: tRNA
About the family: Transfer RNA (tRNA) molecules are approximately 80 nucleotides in length. Their secondary structure includes four short double-helical elements and three loops (D, anti-codon, and T loops). Further hydrogen bonds mediate the characteristic L-shaped molecular structure. tRNAs have two regions of fundamental functional importance: the anti-codon, which is responsible for specific mRNA codon recognition, and the 3' end, to which the tRNAs corresponding amino acid is attached (by aminoacyl-tRNA synthetases). tRNAs cope with the degeneracy of the genetic code in two manners: having more than one tRNA (with a specific anti-codon) for a particular amino acid; and 'wobble' base-pairing, i.e. permitting non-standard base-pairing at the 3rd anti-codon position.
Source: RNAcentral